This 497-nucleotide ribosomal RNA is filed under the name uncultured bacterium. RNAcentral describes it as "partial 16S ribosomal RNA". It matches the Rfam family "Bacterial small subunit ribosomal RNA", at positions 28 to 507 of the family's 1533-position model. The record is from RNAcentral.
GAUGAACGCUGGCGGCGUGCCUAAUACAUGCAAGUCGAACGAACAGAUGAGGAGCUUGCUCCUCUGCCGUUAGCGGCUGACGGGUGAGUAACACGUGGAUAACCUACCUAUAAGACUUGGAUAACUUCGGGAAACCAGAGCUAAUACCAGAUAAUAUAUUGAACCGCAUGGUUCAAUAGUGAUAGGCAGUUUUGCUGUCACUUAUAGAUGGAUCCGCGCCGCAUUAGCUAGUUGGUAAGGUAACGGCUUACCAAGGCAACGAUGCGUAGCCGACCUGAGAGGGUGAUCGGCCACACUGGAACUGAGACACGGUCCAGACUCCUACGGGAGGCAGCAGUAGGGAAUCUUCCACAAUGGGCGAAAGCCUGACGGAGCAAUGCCGCGUGAGUGAUGAAGGUCUUCGGAUCGUAAAACUCUGUUAUUAGGGAAGAACAAAUGCGUAAGUAACUAUGCACGUCUUGACGGUACCUAAUGAGAAAGCCACGGCUAACUUCGUG